This 204-nucleotide ribosomal RNA is filed under the name uncultured bacterium. RNAcentral describes it as "partial 16S ribosomal RNA". It matches the Rfam family "Bacterial small subunit ribosomal RNA", at positions 1289 to 1500 of the family's 1533-position model. The record is from RNAcentral.
CAGUUCGGAUCGAAGUCUGCAACCCAACUUCGUGAAGCUGGAUUCGCUAGUAAUCGCGCAUCAGCCAUGGCGCGGUGAAUACGUUCCCGGGCCUUGUACACACCGCCCGUCAAGCCAUGAAAGCCGGGGGUACCUGAAGUACGUAACCGCAAGGAUCGUCCUAGGGUAAAACUGGUAAUUGGGGCUAAGUCGUAACAAGGUAAC